GAUUGAUGAUGAAAAUAGCCAAGUCUGAAUAUCAGAAGCUUUUUAGUCUACCUGAUGCAUGAUGUCUACUUCUGAGA
Non-coding RNA from Erinaceus europaeus (western European hedgehog), 77 nucleotides. Lineage: Eukaryota; Metazoa; Chordata; Mammalia; Eulipotyphla; Erinaceidae. The record is from Rfam.